GUCUUUAAACACAGACUUUAAUGGUAACAAUUCUUGAAGCUCAAUUAACCUUAGCUAUUACAAGUGUUAUGCCGAUGUCACUAUUAGACAAUAUUUAGUGACUUGCACUGGGUUCCUCAUAAAAGAGAGACAAAUUCACUUAAAACUAUAAUCAACAAUCAUUUAACAGUUUUGUUACGCCAACACAAACCAUGGCUAAUCUGAGUCACUUCGAAAAUCACUAACACAGGAUGGUCAAUAUCUGAAGUAUGUCAACUAAACCAUUAAAAAAAAAAAGUGAGUGUUUCACUACCCCUGAGACCACCAGUUAACUGUGGUUCAUACUUUUAAAAAAUUGUGAGUACACCCACACAAGAAAGCCAAGUAGUUUCUUUUAAAUCUGAUUAUCACAUUGCAAACUUGCCCAGGAAUGAGUCACUUAAAAUGUAAUUUACCAUUACGUCAACUGGACUAUAAUCCUCACAGGUUAAGAUAAACAACAUAAUUUAAAACUUAAUUAUGCAUUAAAAGAUGUAAGAAACAGGAAGAACCAAAAUCAAUUUUUAAUGUUAAUCAUCAUUUCAGUGCUAUACAUGGCACUAUUAGUAUAUAUGGGGGAAAGGACAAAUUCUUGGAUUCUUUAGAAGG
Molecule: long non-coding RNA, 627 nt
Filed under: Bos taurus (domestic cattle)
Lineage: Eukaryota; Metazoa; Chordata; Mammalia; Artiodactyla; Bovidae
Description: long non-coding RNA NONBTAT021947
Source: RNAcentral